CAGCCUGGCUGUUUAUAUAAUGAAAAGUGAAACUGUGACGUGGCCCUUCUUCUUUCCUCUCAGUCAGAACCUAUGAUUAGGGUCAAAAUUACACUUUUUCUUUUGCUUGUCACACUGGGUGAAUUAUUCUGAGUGGCAGGAACAACUAUCUCUCAUACUGUCCUUGCAUUGGUUUUGUUUGUACCGUAAAACAUUGCCAGGUUAUGGAAAUUCAGCUCUGACUAGAAAAUAGAGGACUUUGUUGAAGUACCAAAGGUUCAUUGAUAAACUGAGACCCUGCGUUGUAAAGAGACAUGGAGGCUGUUUUAGGACUGUUGGUGAUCUCAGCUGGAGUGUCUCAUGGCUCGGAGACUUCCUGUGAUGCUAGACAGAAUGGAUGUCAGUGUUAUGGAGCUCUGGGAGGAACUGUCUAUCUCCAGCUGGUGACUGAUGCCACGAGAUAUGAUGAUCUCUUAUUUUAUAAAGACCCAACUGGUGCUAAAACAGAGAUACUCAGAUCGAAGAAGGACAAAUGGAUAACAAAAGACAGCCCCAUUAAAGACAGAGUACACUUCUUUAUAAACAAUGGGACAUUUAGAUUAAAUAACACAAGAAGUACAGAUUCUGGUGAAUAUCUGCUAGAAACAUUUAAUUCAGCAGGGAAAUCAUCAGGGAUCAGAGGACUACAACUGUUCAUCGAAGCUCCAGUGUCCAGUCCUCAGCUGUCCUCUGAGUGUCUGUCCCAUGGAGAGAUGAAGGUGUCCUGUUCCUCUGAGGGGGAUGGUCCCCAGUACAGCUGGACUCUGGAUGGACAGACACUGAACGACACUGAGACAAACACCAUCACUCUGAAGAAAGGCCUGUCAGGAAAUCUCACCUGUACCAUCAGAAACAACAUCAGCAGUGAUACUGUCAGCAGGAGAAUCUCACACUGUCCAGGGCUGAUAUAUGUUAACUGCACCUUAUCCAACGGGACAAAAGUAUCAGAGUGGGUGAAUGCCACUGGUAAUACCCUGUGUGCUGAGUCUACAACAGUGGCGACUGUGACUGAGGCCCCCACCAGUAAAACCUCCACUGGACCAUGGUUCAAUGUGUUGGUUUAUUUCCAACUUGUUGAAGUCUUCAUUUUGCUGACAAUCUGUCUGGGAUCAUACUGGUUUUACAAGAAGAAAACAAGAUGAUGCUGAGUAAGCAGAGUGUUUGCAGUCUCUCAGGUGGAUCACGGUGGGACUCUAAGAGGGGUGUUGAUGUCAUGAAAGUUGCCAUGGGGACCACGACUAAUGACUAACGAUGAUGUUAUACUGCUUAUUACUGUUUUAAUUUUAAUAAAGCUCAAACUCAAAACACAGUCAUGUAUUUAGUUCUUUUGACAUACAUUUUCAUAGUUUCAUAAUGUUUCUUAAGACCUGCCCUUAACAAAGUAAUAAUGAAUGAUCUAUGUGAUGGUGUUUAUUUAAUGAAUUUUAACAUUUGAAUUGUAGUGUUUUAGUGGUUUUUCAUUUGUAC
Molecule: long non-coding RNA, 1485 nt
Filed under: Salmo trutta (river trout)
Lineage: Eukaryota; Metazoa; Chordata; Actinopteri; Salmoniformes; Salmonidae
Description: lncRNA (ENSSTUG00000003089.1)
Source: RNAcentral